RNAcentral lists this long non-coding RNA (782 nucleotides) under Triticum aestivum (bread wheat). RNAcentral's name for it is "long non-coding RNA (TAES_LNC019202)". Lineage: Eukaryota; Viridiplantae; Streptophyta; Magnoliopsida; Poales; Poaceae. The record is from RNAcentral.
AAUCGUCAAUAAAAAUGCCUGCCAUGAGGGUAGAACUUGAUUAAUAUUAUACAGAGAUAACCAUGAUUACAUGCUUCGACACGACAAUAACAUAUAGCAGUGGGAGAACAAAAGACAGGACAUUAGCAUGCAGCUUACACGUGUUCGUACUACUUAAUGUAAUCACGAAAUUAGACUCUCCCCAUUACAGGACUCUACACUAAAACUAAGUGCUCAUCUCGCGAAGAUUAAGAACAGGAUAGCCGCAACAAGGAGUUGGUUGGUGCAAGCCAAAAGCAGCACCGUGCGUUGGCUGUCCGUCGAGCAGCAGUGCGGUGCAGCGCAGGGGGGCGUCCCUGAGCUUGUUGGAUCUUUGCCUGGCAGCUGUGGACGAAGUUGUGCUCGCGCCUGGAUCUAUGGUGAAGCACGUGGGACUGGGACAUGCCAUGGCGAGUCAACUCCGGCAGGUACGUGUGAACGUGUCCGUGGAUCUCAAAAAACUGGCAUGACCCAGCCUGCAUGAAUGAGAUUGAAGUUCAGCAAAAAGGGAUCUGGCUGCGAGAAAAUGAUUUAUGCUGCUAAAGAAAUCUUACAUCCCGGCUCGAGAGAUAAAGUUGACCACCUUGUCGCCAAUGGAUCAGCGGCAGUACCCGUCGGCCGGAGAAGAAGAUAAGUGGUCAUCUUUCCCGAUCUGGUCCUUGCCGAGGAGGGUGAAGAAGACGAUGAGAGGGAGGCAGAGGGGAACGAAUCUUCGGGAGAGAGGCUGUAUGGAUUGCCUGGCGUGCACAACUAAAUUAAUGGGG